GAAUGGCUAUUCCAUUCCCUUGCAAUCCAUUUUGUAUAACCCUAACAUUGGAAUGGGAAUGUCAAUUCUGAUUCCUUGGUUUUCAUUCCUAAUCCAUUUUGGUUCCAAUUAAUUCUGAUUUUUCUCAUUCUUGUUGACCAAAUAUACCAAGUGUCGGAAUUGGGUCAAACAUGGAAUCUCUAUUCCAUUAUAGCCUCCGUCCC
RNAcentral lists this long non-coding RNA (203 nucleotides) under Elaeis guineensis (African oil palm). RNAcentral describes it as "long non-coding RNA (EGUI_LNC042122)". The record is from RNAcentral. Lineage: Eukaryota; Viridiplantae; Streptophyta; Magnoliopsida; Arecales; Arecaceae.